This 630-nucleotide ribosomal RNA is filed under the name uncultured Enterobacterales bacterium. Its description in RNAcentral is "bacterial SSU rRNA". It matches the Rfam family "Bacterial small subunit ribosomal RNA", at positions 61 to 680 of the family's 1533-position model. The record is from RNAcentral. Lineage: Bacteria; Pseudomonadati; Pseudomonadota; Gammaproteobacteria; Enterobacterales.
GUCGAACGGUAACAGGAAGCAGCUUGCUGCUUCGCUGACGAGUGGCGGACGGGUGAGUAAUGUCUGGGAAACUGCCUGAUGGAGGGGGAUAACUACUGGAAACGGUAGCUAAUACCGCAUAACGUCGCAAGACCAAAGAGGGGGACCUUCGGGCCUCUUGCCAUCGGAUGUGCCCAGAUGGGAUUAGCUAGUAGGUGGGGUAACGGCUCACCUAGGCGACGAUCCCUAGCUGGUCUGAGAGGAUGACCAGCCACACUGGAACUGAGACACGGUCCAGACUCCUACGGGAGGCAGCAGUGGGGAAUAUUGCACAAUGGGCGCAAGCCUGAUGCAGCCAUGCCGCGUGUAUGAAGAAGGCCUUCGGGUUGUUAAGUACUUUCAGCGGGGAGGAAGGCGACAGGGUUUAUAACCCUGUCGAUUGACGUUACCCGCAGAAGAAGCACCGGCUAACUCCGUGCCAGCAGCCGCGGUAAUACGGAGGGUGCAAGCGUUAAUCGGAAUUACUGGGCGUAAAGCGCACGCAGGCGGUCUGUCAAGUCGGAUGUGAAAUCCCCGGGCUCAACCUGGGAACUGCAUUCGAAACUGGCAGGCUAGAGUCUUGUAGAGGGGGGUAGUAUUCCAGGUGUAGCG